RNAcentral lists this ribosomal RNA (369 nucleotides) under uncultured phototrophic eukaryote. RNAcentral's name for it is "SSU rRNA". It matches the Rfam family "Bacterial small subunit ribosomal RNA", at positions 524 to 896 of the family's 1533-position model. The record is from RNAcentral.
UACGGGGGAUGCAAGCGUUAUCCGGAAUCAUUGGGCGUAAAGCGCCUGUAGGUUGUUUAAUAAGUCUGUUGUUAAAGACUAGGGCUUAACCCUAGAAAAGCAAUGGAAACUACUAGACUAGAGUAUGGCAGGGGUAGAGGGAAUUUCUAGUGUAGCGGUGAAAUGCGUAGAUAUUAGAAAGAACACCAGCGGCGAAAGCGCUCUACUGGACCAUUACUGACACUCAGAGGCGAAAGCUAGGGUAGCAAAAGGGAUUAGAUACCCCUGUAGUCUUAGCCGUAAACGAUGGAUACUAGAUGUUGUGCAUAUCGUACAGUAUCGUAGCUAACGCGUUAAGUAUCCCGCCUGGGGAGUACGAUCGCAAGGUUG